GGGUUGUGAGGUUAAGCGACUAAGCGUACACGGUGGAUGCCCUGGCAGUCAGAGGCGAUGAAGGGCGUGCUAAUCUGCGAUAAGCGCCGGUAAGGUGAUAUGAACCGUUAUAACCGGCGAUACCCGAAUGGGGAAACCCAGUGUGAUUCGUCACACUAUCAUUAACUGAAUCCAUAGGUUAAUGAGGCGAACCGGGGGAACUGAAACAUCUAAGUACCCCGAGGAAAAGAAAUCAACCGAGAUUCCCCCAGUAGCGGCGAGCGAACGGGGAGGAGCCCAGAGCCUGAAUCAGCAUGUGUGUUAGUGGAAGCGUCUGGAAAGGCGCGCGAUACAGGGUGACAGCCCCGUACACAAAAGCGCAUGUGCUGUGAGCUCGAUGAGUAGGGCGGGACACGUGGUAUCCUGUCUGAAUAUGGGGGGACCAUCCUCCAAGGCUAAAUACUCCUGACUGACCGAUAGUGAACCAGUACCGUGAGGGAAAGGCGAAAAGAACCCCGGCGAGGGGAGUGAAAAAGAACCUGAAACCGUGUACGUACAAGCAGUGGGAGCACCCUUUGGGUGUGACUGCGUACCUUUUGUAUAAUGGGUCAGCGACUUAUAUUCUGUAGCAAGGUUAACCGAAUAGGGGAGCCGGAGGGAAACCGAGUCUUAAUUGGGCGUUAAGUUGCAGGGUAUAGACCCGAAACCCGGUGAUCUAGCCAUGGGCAGGUUGAAGGUUGGGUAACACUAACUGGAGGACCGAACCGACUAAUGUUGAAAAAUUAGCGGAUGACCUGUGGCUGGGGGUGAAAGGCCAAUCAAACCGGGAGAUAGCUGGUUCUCCCCGAAAGCUAUUUAGGUAGCGCCUCGUGAAUUCAUCUCCGGGGGUAGAGCACUGUUUCGGCUAGGGGGCCAUCCCGGCUUACCAACCCGAUGCAAACUGCGAAUACCGGAGAAUGUUAUCACGGGAGACACACGGCGGGUGCUAACGUCCGUCGUGAAGAGGGAAACAACCCAGACCGCCAGCUAAGGUCCCAAAGUCAUGGUUAAGUGGGAAACGAUGUGGGAAGGCCCAGACAGCCAGGAUGUUGGCUUAGAAGCAGCCAUCAUUUAAAGAAAGCGUAAUAGCUCACUGGUCGAGUCGGCCUGCGCGGAAGAUGUAACGGGGCUAAACCAUGCACCGAAGCUGCGGCAGCGACGCUUAUGCGUUGUUGGGUAGGGGAGCGUUCUGUAAGCCUGCGAAGGUGGCCUGUGAGGGUUGCUGGAGGUAUCAGAAGUGCGAAUGCUGACAUAAGUAACGAUAAAGCGGGUGAAAAGCCCGCUCGCCGGAAGACCAAGGGUUCCUGUCCAACGUUAAUCGGGGCAGGGUGAGUCGACCCCUAAGGCGAGGCCGAAAGGCGUAGUCGAUGGGAAACGGGUUAAUAUUCCCGUACUUGGUGUUACUGCGAAGGGGGGACGGAGAAGGCUAUGUUGGCCGGGCGACGGUUGUCCCGGUUUAAGCGUGUAGGUGUGUGUUCCAGGUAAAUCCGGUUCACUUUAACACUGAGGCGUGACGACGAGGCACUACGGUGCUGAAGCAACAAAUGCCCUGCUUCCAGGAAAAGCCUCUAAGCAUCAGGUAACAUCAAAUCGUACCCCAAACCGACACAGGUGGUCAGGUAGAGAAUACCAAGGCGCUUGAGAGAACUCGGGUGAAGGAACUAGGCAAAAUGGUGCCGUAACUUCGGGAGAAGGCACGCUGACACGUAGGUGAAGUGAUUUACUCAUGGAGCUGAAGUCAGUCGAAGAUACCAGCUGGCUGCAACUGUUUAUUAAAAACACAGCACUGUGCAAACACGAAAGUGGACGUAUACGGUGUGACGCCUGCCCGGUGCCGGAAGGUUAAUUGAUGGGGUCAGCGCAAGCGAAGCUCCUGAUCGAAGCCCCGGUAAACGGCGGCCGUAACUAUAACGGUCCUAAGGUAGCGAAAUUCCUUGUCGGGUAAGUUCCGACCUGCACGAAUGGCGUAAUGAUGGCCAGGCUGUCUCCACCCGAGACUCAGUGAAAUUGAACUCGCUGUGAAGAUGCAGUGUACCCGCGGCAAGACGGAAAGACCCCGUGAACCUUUACUAUAGCUUGACACUGAACAUUGAGCCUUGAUGUGUAGGAUAGGUGGGAGGCUUUGAAGUGUGGACGCCAGUCUGCAUGGAGCCGACCUUGAAAUACCACCCUUUAAUGUUUGAUGUUCUAACGUGGACCCGUUACCCGGGUUGCGGACAGUGUCUGGUGGGUAGUUUGACUGGGGCGGUCUCCUCCUAAAGAGUAACGGAGGAGCACGAAGGUUGGCUAAUCCUGGUCGGACAUCAGGAGGUUAGUGCAAUGGCAUAAGCCAGCUUGACUGCGAGCGUGACGGCGCGAGCAGGUGCGAAAGCAGGUCAUAGUGAUCCGGUGGUUCUGAAUGGAAGGGCCAUCGCUCAACGGAUAAAAGGUACUCCGGGGAUAACAGGCUGAUACCGCCCAAGAGUUCAUAUCGACGGCGGUGUUUGGCACCUCGAUGUCGGCUCAUCACAUCCUGGGGCUGAAGUAGGUCCCAAGGGUAUGGCUGUUCGCCAUUUAAAGUGGUACGCGAGCUGGGUUUAGAACGUCGUGAGACAGUUCGGUCCCUAUCUGCCGUGGGCGCUGGAGAACUGAGGGGGGCUGCUCCUAGUACGAGAGGACCGGAGUGGACGCAUCACUGGUGUUCGGGUUGUCAUGCCAAUGGCACUGCCCGGUAGCUAAAUGCGGAAGAGAUAAGUGCUGAAAGCAUCUAAGCACGAAACUUGCCCCGAG
This 2787-nucleotide ribosomal RNA is filed under the name Salmonella enterica subsp. enterica serovar Enteritidis. RNAcentral describes it as "partial 23S ribosomal RNA". It matches the Rfam family "Bacterial large subunit ribosomal RNA". The record is from RNAcentral. Lineage: Bacteria; Pseudomonadati; Pseudomonadota; Gammaproteobacteria; Enterobacterales; Enterobacteriaceae.